AUUGAACGCUGGCGGCAGGCCUAACACAUGCAAGUCGAGCGGUAGAGAGGUGCUUGCAUCUCUUGAGAGCGGCGGACGGGUGAGUAAUGCCUAGGAAUCUGCCUAGUGGUGGGGGAUAACGUUCGGAAACGGACGCUAAUACCGCAUACGUCCUACGGGAGAAAGCGGGGGAUCUUCGGACCUCGCGCCAUUAGAUGAGCCUAGGUCGGAUUAGCUAGUUGGUGAGGUAAUGGCUCACCAAGGCGACGAUCCGUAACUGGUCUGAGAGGAUGAUCAGUCACACUGGAACUGAGACACGGUCCAGACUCCUACGGGAGGCAGCAGUGGGGAAUAUUGGACAAUGGGCGAAAGACCUGAUCUAGCCAUGCCGCGUGAUCGAUGAAGGCCUUAGGGUGUAAGAUCUUUCAGUGGGGAAGAUAAUGACGGUACCACAGAAUAAGCACCGGCUAACUUCGUGCCAGCAGACCGCGGU
RNAcentral lists this ribosomal RNA (472 nucleotides) under uncultured bacterium. RNAcentral's name for it is "bacterial SSU rRNA". It matches the Rfam family "Bacterial small subunit ribosomal RNA", at positions 30 to 521 of the family's 1533-position model. The record is from RNAcentral.